CCAGACUCCUACGGGAGGCAGCAGUGGGGAAUAUUGCACAAUGGGCGCAAGCCUGAUGCAGCGACGCCGCGUGAGGGAUGACGGCCUUCGGGUUGUAAACCUCUGUUAGCAUCGAAGAAGCGAAAGUGACGGUAGGUGCAGAGAAAGCGCCGGCUAACUACGUGCCAGCAGCCGCGGUAAUACGUAGGGCGCGAGCGUUGUCCGGAAUUAUUGGGCGUAAAGAGCUUGUAGGCGGUUGGUCGCGUCUGCUGUGAAAGGCCGGGGCUUAACUCCGGUUUUGCAGUGGGUACGGGCUAACUAGAGUGCAGUAGGGGAGACUGGAAUUCCUGGUGUAGCGGUGGAAUGCACAGAUAUCAGGAGGAACACCGAUGGCGAAGGCAGGUCUCUGGGCUGUAACUGACGCUGAGAAGCGAAAGCAUGGGGAGCGAACAGGAUUAGAUACCCUGGUAGUCCAUGCCGUAAACGGUGGGCACUAGGUGUGGGGGACAUUCCACGUUUUCCGCGCCGUAGCUAACGCAUUAAGUGCCCCGCCUGGGGAGUACGGCCGCAAGGCUAAAACUCAAAGGAAUUGACGGGGGCCCGCACAAG
This 588-nucleotide ribosomal RNA is filed under the name uncultured bacterium. RNAcentral's name for it is "bacterial SSU rRNA". It matches the Rfam family "Bacterial small subunit ribosomal RNA", at positions 331 to 929 of the family's 1533-position model. The record is from RNAcentral.